GCCUGGGUGGCUCAGUCGGUUAAGCGUCUGACUUCGGCUCAGGUCAUGAUCUCACGUUUAGUGAGUUUGAGCCCCACAUCAGGCU
RNAcentral lists this transfer RNA (85 nucleotides) under Felis catus (domestic cat). It matches the Rfam family "tRNA". From Rfam's summary of the family: Transfer RNA (tRNA) molecules are approximately 80 nucleotides in length. Their secondary structure includes four short double-helical elements and three loops (D, anti-codon, and T loops). Further hydrogen bonds mediate the characteristic L-shaped molecular structure. tRNAs have two regions of fundamental functional importance: the anti-codon, which is responsible for specific mRNA codon recognition, and the 3' end, to which the tRNAs corresponding amino acid is attached (by aminoacyl-tRNA synthetases). tRNAs cope with the degeneracy of the genetic code in two manners: having more than one tRNA (with a specific anti-codon) for a particular amino acid; and 'wobble' base-pairing, i.e. permitting non-standard base-pairing at the 3rd anti-codon position. Lineage: Eukaryota; Metazoa; Chordata; Mammalia; Carnivora; Felidae. The record is from Rfam by way of RNAcentral.